CCCAAGCCGCCGCUCACCAUCUUCCUGUUCCCCCAUUCACAGCCUCCCAUCUCACUAAACCAGUAACCUCUCCCCUUCAUCUAACCCGUGCAACCCAUUUCCCUCCACUACAGCCAACACUCCCUAUAUCCUCUCCUCUCCCAGCCGGCUUGCUCUUCUUCUUCACCCAUAGAAGUCAGCCGCCGCUGCACACACCGGA
Molecule: long non-coding RNA, 199 nt
Filed under: Populus trichocarpa (black cottonwood)
Lineage: Eukaryota; Viridiplantae; Streptophyta; Magnoliopsida; Malpighiales; Salicaceae
Description: long non-coding RNA (PTRI_LNC003449)
Source: RNAcentral